GACGAACGCUGGCGGCGUGCUUAACACAUGCAAGUCGAGCGGUAAGGCCUUUCGGGGUACACGAGCGGCGAACGGGUGAGUAACACGUGGGUGAUCUGCCCUGCACUUCGGGAUAAGCCUGGGAAACUGGGUCUAAUACCGGAUAUGACCUCCUAUCGCAUGGUGGGUGGUGGAAAGAUUUAUCGGUGCAGGAUGGGCCCGCGGCCUAUCAGCUUGUUGGUGGGGUAAUGGCCUACCAAGGCGACGACGGGUAGCCGACCUGAGAGGGUGACCGGCCACACUGGGACUGAGACACGGCCCAGACUCCUACGGGAGGCAGCAGUGGGGAAUAUUGCACAAUGGGCGAAAGCCUGAUGCAGCGACGCCGCGUGAGGGAUGACGGCCCUCGGGUUGUAAACCUCUUUCAGCAGGGACGAAGCGCAAGUGACGGUACCUGCAGAAGAAGCACCGGCUAACUACGUG
RNAcentral lists this ribosomal RNA (462 nucleotides) under uncultured bacterium. RNAcentral's name for it is "partial 16S ribosomal RNA". It matches the Rfam family "Bacterial small subunit ribosomal RNA", at positions 28 to 507 of the family's 1533-position model. The record is from RNAcentral.